This is a long non-coding RNA of Hyla sarda, 397 nucleotides long. RefSeq lists it as uncharacterized. The record is from RefSeq and is a predicted model, not a curated record. Lineage: Eukaryota; Metazoa; Chordata; Amphibia; Anura; Hylidae. The transcript has 3 exons.
CUCCAUGACACCGAGCUCCAGCCGCCCAUUCUCUGCACCGAGCACUGCACAGCCAUCUGCACGGAGACCACCCACAGGCUUCAUCAUGGAGCGUGCUGCCACCUGGCUGCCGUCCACAGCUAUUACAUAGCUGUACUCACUAUUUUGCUGGAGGAGUCACAAGGAGGGUGAGAGAGCCUGCUACGAUAACACAGAUUUGGAGUUGUUAAGAUAAUAACAUGCAAGGCUUCCAGUAGGAUUCAGGUUUCUCCAGCUCUGUGGCUACCUUGUCUGAAGAACACUGACAGAAUAAAGGCCAUUAUAAAUUAACUAUUGCAGUCUGAUGAAAAAAUCCCGGCAGCACAGCAAAUUAUAAAGUUCCUGGUGAAGAAUUUUGUUUUAUUUAUAUACCAUUAAA